RNAcentral lists this microRNA (21 nucleotides) under Glycine max (soybean). Its description in RNAcentral is "gma-miR5776". The record is from miRBase by way of RNAcentral. Lineage: Eukaryota; Viridiplantae; Streptophyta; Magnoliopsida; Fabales; Fabaceae.
AACUUGGGCUGAGCUUAGGUG